Molecule: ribosomal RNA, 338 nt
Filed under: uncultured bacterium
Lineage: Bacteria
Description: partial 16S ribosomal RNA
Rfam family: Bacterial small subunit ribosomal RNA
Source: RNAcentral
CCUACGGGUGGCAGCAGUGAGGAAUAUUGGUCAAUGGCCGUAAGGCUGAACCAGCCAAGUCGCGUGAAGGAAGACGGCCCUAUGGUUUGUAAACUUCUUUUAUAGGGGAAUAAAGUUAUCCACGUGUGGAUUUUUGUAUGUACUCUAUGAAUAAGGAUCGGCUAACUCCGUGCCAGCAGCCGCGGUAAUACGGAGGAUCCGAGCGUUAUCCGGAUUUAUUGGGUUUAAAGGGCGCGUAGGUGGUUUUUUAAGUCAGUUGUGAAAGUUUGGGGCUCAACCGUAAAAUUGCAAUUGAAACUGGGAGGCUUUAGGACAGUUGAGGGAAGCGGAAAUGGGUG